AUUGAACGCUGGCGGCAGGCCUAACACAUGCAAGUCGAGCGGAUGAAGGGAGCUUGCUCCUGGAUUCAGCGGCGGACGGGUGAGUAAUGCCUAGGAAUCUGCCUGGUAGUGCGUGAUAACGUCCGGAAACGGGCGCUAAUACCGCAUACGUCCUGAGGGAGAAAGUGGGGGAUCUUCGGACCUCACGCUAUCAGAUGAGCCUAGGUCGGAUUAGCUAGUUGGUGGGGUAAAGGCCUACCAAGGCGACGAUCCGUAACUGGUCUGAGAGGAUGAUCAGUCACACUAGAAGUGAGACAGGGACAUGGCGCCUAAGAGACGCAGCAGUGUGGAAUAGUAGACAAUGGGCGAAAGCCUGGUCCAGCCAUGCCGCGUGUGUGAAGAAGGUCUUCGGAGUGUAAAGCACUUUUAGGUGGGAGGAAGGGCAGUAAGUUAAUACCUUGCUGUUUUGACGUUACCAACAGAAGAAGCACCGGCUAACUUCGUG
Molecule: ribosomal RNA, 484 nt
Filed under: uncultured bacterium
Lineage: Bacteria
Description: partial 16S ribosomal RNA
Rfam family: Bacterial small subunit ribosomal RNA
Source: RNAcentral